GGACGCGCGACUGAAUUUAUUCGGAAUCCUACUUGAGUAAGCGCAUGAUCGGGCAGUGGUCGAAACGCCCGCCUCCGUCUCGGCAGACGCGUAGCGGGGUGCGUUCUCCGCGGCCUCACCCGGCUCCGGCCCAGCUAGCCUUAGGUUUCUGUCGUUGCCUCACCCGGCUCCGGCCCCGGGGAUGACACCGCCAUCUGGCCAUAGCCUGUAUAUCAUCCUGAUCUCUCCCCCGCCUUCCGCAUGUCUCACAUCCAGCUGCUACUAAAUCAUGUCAGCUCUGCCCCAUGCAUACUGCCUGUCCUCCUCCUUCCCCACGGCCACCAUACUGGCACUUGUGCCUUCUGAGACCUGCCUUCCAGAGGAGUGCACAUGCCAGGAGUGUUCAGUGGGCACAAGUGGUUUUAUUGUUUCUGCCCGGAAGAGGAAGCCCUGGCAGCAGCAGGGACACAGAGAGGACACGGCGCUGCAUCCUGCCGGCAGUGUGGAUGCUGGUGGCGGGAGUCCAGGACUGUGAAGAGCUGUCAGCAUAUGAGCUGGAGCCGCUGAGGAGCUGCACCUAGGCCUGCAGAGGCCACCAGCUUGAGAAGGGGGUCCCAGCCUCACCGAUGCCGCUUUCGGAUGCUCUGCAGCUCCUGGUAGAUGGUGCUGAAGCUGGGCCGCUGCCCAGGCUCAUAGGCCCAGCACUGCUCCAUGAGCCUGAACACGGCAUCAGGACACAGCUCUGGGCAGGGCAGACGGCCCCCUGUGAGGAGAGGCACAGCACACCAGGCAUGAGGAGGGAGUUUGAGGGUCCUCGGCAGACUCUGGGGGAUACCAUGAGCCAUAGGAGCUGCUUAAGAUGCACUGUUCUGAAGGAUGCACUGUUCUCCACCAAGGGCCCAAAGGACAAAGAGGCCUGGCUUCUGAUCCUAAUCCUACCACGUGCUAGCUGUGUCCCCUCUGCCAGCCUUUUUUUCCAUCUGAGAAAGGGACAUAUUAAUCCCUACCACACAUGUAGUGAUGAGCAAAUGAAAUAACAUGUGACCUAGCACAGACCAGGUGCUCACUCAGUAGUAGCUACAGG
RNAcentral lists this long non-coding RNA (1063 nucleotides) under Pan troglodytes (chimpanzee). Its description in RNAcentral is "long non-coding RNA NONPTRT005782". The record is from RNAcentral. Lineage: Eukaryota; Metazoa; Chordata; Mammalia; Primates; Hominidae.